This 414-nucleotide ribosomal RNA is filed under the name Salmonella enterica subsp. enterica serovar Typhimurium. Its description in RNAcentral is "partial 23S ribosomal RNA". It matches the Rfam family "Bacterial large subunit ribosomal RNA", at positions 161 to 613 of the family's 2925-position model. RNAcentral also lists the same sequence under 1 other name. The record is from RNAcentral. Lineage: Bacteria; Pseudomonadati; Pseudomonadota; Gammaproteobacteria; Enterobacterales; Enterobacteriaceae.
AAUCCAUAGGUUAAUGAGGCGAACCGGGGGAACUGAAACAUCUAAGUACCCCGAGGAAAAGAAAUCAACCGAGAUUCCCCCAGUAGCGGCGAGCGAACGGGGAGGAGCCCAGAGCCUGAAUCAGCAUGUGUGUUAGUGGAAGCGUCUGGAAAGGCGCGCGAUACAGGGUGACAGCCCCGUACACAAAAGCGCAUGUGCUGUGAGCUCGAUGAGUAGGGCGGGACACGUGGUAUCCUGUCUGAAUAUGGGGGGACCAUCCUCCAAGGCUAAAUACUCCUGACUGACCGAUAGUGAACCAGUACCGUGAGGGAAAGGCGAAAAGAACCCCGGCGAGGGGAGUGAAAAAGAACCUGAAACCGUGUACGUACAAGCAGUGGGAGCACCCUUCGGGGUGUGACUGCGUACCUUUUGUAU